This 228-nucleotide non-coding RNA is filed under the name Fictibacillus arsenicus. Its description in RNAcentral is "T-box sequence". It matches the Rfam family "T-box leader". From Rfam's summary of the family: Uncharged tRNA acts as the effector for transcription antitermination of genes in the T-box leader family. T-boxes are found upstream of many aminoacyl-tRNA synthetase genes and some amino acid biosynthetic genes usually in Gram-positive bacteria. Lineage: Bacteria; Bacillati; Bacillota; Bacilli; Caryophanales; Fictibacillaceae. The record is from RNAcentral.
UUAAUAACGAUGAGAGGGACUAGUAAAAAAAGAAUGGCAUUUAGAGAGUUGACGGCUGGUGCAAGUCAACCCGGACUUUUUUGAACUCACCCUUUAGUUGCAAGUGUGAAUAAAGUAAUACUUGCCGUCCCGCCGCGUUAAGGUUAGUUUGAGUGAACGUGAUUUUUGCGUUAAUCAGGGUGGUACCGCGGCAGGUUUAAAAUUGUGAUCUAACCUUUCGUCCCUAAU